GAGGAUGAUCAGCCACACUGGAACUGAGACACGGUCCAGACUCCUACGGGAGGCAGCAGUGGGGAAUAUUGGACAAUGGGCGCAAGCCUGAUCCAGCCAUACCGCGUGGGUGAAGAAGGCCUUCGGGUUGUAAAGCCCUUUUGUUGGGAAAGAAAUCCAGCUGGCUAAUACCCGGUUGGGAUGACGGUACCCAAAGAAUAAGCACCGGCUAACUUCGUGCCAGCAGCCGCGGUAAUACGAAGGGUGCAAGCGUUACUCGGAAUUACUGGGCGUAAAGCGUGCGUAGGUGGUCGUUUAAGUCCGUUGUGAAAGCCCUGGGCUCAACCUGGGAACUGCAGUGGAUACUGGGCGACUAGAGUGUGGUAGAGGGUAGCGGAAUUCCUGGUGUAGCAGUGAAAUGCGUAGAGAUCAGGAGGAACAUCCAUGGCGAAGGCAGCUACCUGGACCAACACUGACACUGAGGCACGAAAGCGUGGGGAGCAAACAGGAUUAG
This 493-nucleotide ribosomal RNA is filed under the name uncultured bacterium. RNAcentral's name for it is "bacterial SSU rRNA". It matches the Rfam family "Bacterial small subunit ribosomal RNA", at positions 296 to 781 of the family's 1533-position model. The record is from RNAcentral.